GAAGAAUAUAAGAAUCAGGCACAUCUGGGUUGGAAUUCUAAUUCCAUAUGAAACCUGAUUGUCUCUGGGCAAGUGACUUAGUUUUCCUUAGCUGUGAAGUGAGGAAGUUAAAUGAUUUUUAAUUCAUAGUGUUAUUGUGACAAUUAAAGUAGAGAUGCAUGUGAACUUCUUGGCAGACUGUAGGCCCUCAAUACACAUUAUUUUUAUAGCUCAAACAUUCCUAAGACCAUCCAUUAAAAUGAUGUCAAAUCUAUUCUCAGGAAUAGCAGGGUGGUCAGGUUUUCAAUUUCUGAAUGUGUCAAUUAUGCACAAAUUGGGUGGUUUUAUUUGAGAACCUUCAAUUUGGAUAAAAGCCUGAUGUGACUUAGUCAUACAGACAAACUAUUUGUAAUGAAGAAUAUUAAAGCAAAGAGUUAAAAAGUAGUCUUUCAAAUUUAUUUACCUAUUACUUAUGGAGAACUUGGAAUUUUUUAGGUUCUUUAGAGACAAAUCUCUUUCCCUAAGAACUUUAGCAUAGGAAAGAAAUGAACACACAUAGCUCUAAAC
RNAcentral lists this long non-coding RNA (546 nucleotides) under Marmota monax (woodchuck). The record is from RNAcentral. Lineage: Eukaryota; Metazoa; Chordata; Mammalia; Rodentia; Sciuridae.